GUUGUAUGGUUAAGUGACUAAGCGUACACGGUGGAUGCCUUGGCAGUUGGAGGCGAUGAAGGACGUACUAACUUGCGAUAAGCCUAGUCAAGCCAGUAAGAGGCGCUUGAGACUAGGAUUUCCGAAUGGGGAAACCCACCUGCUUUGCAGGUAUCGUUAACUGAAUACAUAGGUUAACGAGGCGAACGCGGAGAACUGAAACAUCUAAGUACCCGUAGGAAAAGAAAUCAACCGAGAUUCCGAAAGUAGCGGCGAGCGAAAUCGGAGCAGCCCUUAAGCUUUAAUGUAGUUAGUGGAAUAUGCUGGAAAGCAUGACGAAACAGGGUGAUAGUCCCGUACACGACAACUUAUUUAAAGUGAAAUCGAGUAGGUCGGAGCACGUGAAACUUUGACUGAAUAUGGGGGGACCAUCCUCCAAGGCUAAAUACUCCCAACUGACCGAUAGUGAACCAGUACCGUGAGGGAAAGGCGAAAAGAACCCCUGUGAGGGGAGUGAAAUAGAACCUGAAACCGUGUACGUACAAGCAGUAGGAGCCCACCACCAAAUACCUUUGUUGGGGUUCUUUAACAUCGACCUGCUUUAGCAGCCGAUGGUAAAAGACAUCUCGAAGAAAUAGAACCUUGGUGGUUCAAAUAGCAGAGCUAUUUGGGGUGGGUGACUGCGUACCUUUUGUAUAAUGGGUCAGCGACUUAUAUUCUGUAGCGAGGUUAACCAUUUAGGGGAGCCGUAGCGAAAGCGAGUCUUAACUGGGCGCUUAAGUUGCAGGGUAUAGACCCGAAACCCGGUGAUCUAGCCAUGGGCAGGUUGAAGGUUGAGUAACAUCAACUGGAGGACCGAACCCACUAACGUUGAAAAGUUAGGGGAUGACCUGUGGCUAGGAGUGAAAGGCUAAUCAAACCGGGAGAUAGCUGGUUCUCCCCGAAAUCUAUUUAGGUAGAGCCUCGGACGAAUACUUACGGGGGUAGAGCACUGUUAAGGCUAGGGGGUCAUCCCGACUUACCAACCCUUUGCAAACUCCGAAUACCGUAAAGUAAUAUCCGGGAGACACACGGCGGGUGCUAACGUCCGUCGUGGAGAGGGAAACAACCCAGACCGUCAGCUAAGGUCCCAAAGUGUAUGUUAAGUGGGAAACGAUGUGGGAAGGCUAAAACAGCUAGGAGGUUGGCUUAGAAGCAGCCACCCUUUAAAGAAAGCGUAAUAGCUCACUAGUCGAGUCGGCCUGCGCGGAAGAUGUAACGGGGCUAAACAUACCACCGAAGCUACGGCUGCAGGCUUUGUCUGCGGGGUAGGGGAGCGUUCUGUAAGUGGCUGAAGGUGUGCCGGGAGGCAUGCUGGACAUAUCAGAAGUGCGAAUGCUGACAUGAGUAACGACAAGAGGAGUGAAAAACUCCUCCGCCGGAAGACCAAGGGUUCCUAUCCCAUGUUAAUCAGGGUAGGGUGAGUCGACCCCUAAGGCGAGGCUGAAGAGCGUAGUCGAUGGGAAACGGGUUAAUAUUCCCGUACUCGGUAUGAAUGCGAUGGGGGGACGGAGCAGGCUAGGCAAGCAUGGCGUUGGUUGUCCAUGUGAAAGGCUGUAGGCUGGUGACUUAGGAAAAUCCGGGUUGCCAAGGCUGAGAGUCGAGACGAGCCACUAAGGUGGUGAAGUUGUUGAUGCCCUACUUCCAGGAAAAGCCUCUAAGCUUCAGUUCAUACUGAAUCGUACCCUAAACCGACACAGGUGGUCAGGUAGAGAAUACUAAGGCGCUUGAGAGAACUCGGGUGAAGGAACUAGGCAAAAUUGUACCGUAACUUCGGGAGAAGGUACGCUCUUGUUUGUGAAAGACUUGCUCUGUAAGCAAACGAGAGCCGCAGUGACCAGGUGGCUGGGACUGUUUAUUAAAAACACAGCACUGUGCAAAAUCGUAAGAUGACGUAUACGGUGUGACACCUGCCCGGUGCCGGAAGGUUAAUUGAUGGGGUUAGCUUAGGCGAAGCUCUUGAUCGAAGCCCCGGUAAACGGCGGCCGUAACUAUAACGGUCCUAAGGUAGCGAAAUUCCUUGUCGGGUAAGUUCCGACCUGCACGAAUGGUGUAACCAUGGCCACGCUGUCUCCACCCGAGACUCAGUGAAAUUGAAAUCGCAGUGAAGAUGCUGUGUACCCGCGGCUAGACGGAAAGACCCCGUGAACCUUUACUACAGCUUGGCACUGAACAUUGACCCUACAUGUGUAGGAUAGGUGGGAGGCUUUGAAGCGCAGACGCUAGUUUGUGUGGAGCCGACCUUGAAAUACCACCCUUGUAGUGUUGAUGUUCUAACUUAGGCCCCUGAAUCGGGGUUGAGGACAGUGCCUGGUGGGUAGUUUGACUGGGGCGGUCUCCUCCCAAAGAGUAACGGAGGAGCACGAAGGUUUGCUAAGUACGGUCGGACAUCGUACGGUUAGUGUAAUGGUAGAAGCAAGCUUAACUGCGAGACAGACACGUCGAGCAGGUACGAAAGUAGGUCAUAGUGAUCCGGUGGUUCUGAAUGGAAGGGCCAUCGCUCAACGGAUAAAAGGUACUCCGGGGAUAACAGGCUGAUACCGCCCAAGAGUUCAUAUCGACGGCGGUGUUUGGCACCUCGAUGUCGGCUCAUCACAUCCUGGGGCUGAAGUCGGUCCCAAGGGUAUGGCUGUUCGCCAUUUAAAGUGGUACGCGAGCUGGGUUUAGAACGUCGUGAGACAGUUCGGUCCCUAUCUGCCGUGGGCGUUUGAGAAUUGAGAGGGGCUGCUCCUAGUACGAGAGGACCGGAGUGGACGAACCGCUGGUGUUCGGGUUGUGAUGCCAAUUGCAUUGCCCGGUAGCUACGUUCGGAAUCGAUAACCGCUGAAAGCAUCUAAGCGGGAAGCGAGCCUCGAGAUGAGUUCUCACUUUGACUUAGAGUCAACUGAAGGGCCGUUGAAGACUACAACGUUGAUAGGCGAGAUGUGGAAGUGCUGUGAGGCAUUAAGCUAACUCGUACUAAUUACCCGUGAGGCUUAACCAUACAACGCCAAAGUGGUUU
This 3019-nucleotide ribosomal RNA is filed under the name Pseudoalteromonas piscicida. Its description in RNAcentral is "bacterial LSU rRNA". It matches the Rfam family "Bacterial large subunit ribosomal RNA". Lineage: Bacteria; Pseudomonadati; Pseudomonadota; Gammaproteobacteria; Alteromonadales; Pseudoalteromonadaceae. The record is from RNAcentral.